UACACUGAUAUUACCACCACUUUCGCCGCACUGGUAUCGCCACCGCCACCUCCGCAACACUAAAUCCACUAGCACUGACAGUACAGUCACAGCGAGUUAACACUAAUAAAGACUACCACUAACAUCAAAAACACUACUACUACUACUUCGACUGUCACCGCUGCAAAUCGCCCUCACCACCACCAUCACCAUUACCAUCACUACUGCUGCUCCAACUGCAACUAGCUUGCUGCUGCUACUGCUACUGUAGCUGCUGCUGCUCUGCUGCUGUUUCCACCGUCCCCACCAGAGAUGUGUAGCCGGUAGCUGUGACAGAUAUUAGUCAGGUACAACAACACAAGAAGAUAAACUCACCACCGCCGAUCUUUAAAACAAGUCUUCUCUCCAACAGUGGUCAAGCACGUCACCCCCUCCUCCUCUAUUUGACCGUUGCACUAAUUAAACCGUUUUCAACCCCCACCACCAGAGCACCAUGGCUUAUAGUUUUGUAGAUAGCUUUUGGGUGAACAAUAUUGAAGAGUACAUAAGUACUACUGGGUUUGACAUUGUCUGGAAACGAAUGAAAGGUAGCCAAAAGUUGGGCAAAGACGUAGAAGAAUAUCUGAAAUCAUUAGCCAAAAUAGAAAAUGAAUACAGCAAAAGUCUGAAUAGAUUGAACAAAGGCUCUGAAAUAGGAGAGGACUUGGGGGUUAUGGGUCAAUCUUGGAUUAAGCUGAAAUAUGAAUUUGAUCAAGUUGCCUCUACACAUGAAGAAUUGAGUUCUGUACUUUCUUCUCAAGUUGAGAAAAUAAAGACAAUGAAUGAAGUUCAGGAUGAAAAGAAACGAAAAUGUAAAGAAUCAGUAAGAAAGUGUCACUCACACAACUCGACCUUAUACAACCGGACUUUAAAUGCUGAAAAAGUAUAUAAACAGAAAUUCCUUGAAAAUAUUCAGUGUAAAAAGCAGUAUGAGUCUACAAAAUCUUUUGCGGUUUCUACUAAAGAUACAGAAAAGUUAUUCAACAAACACAUCAAAGCUGUUCAGGGUAAAGAAAAUGCUGAUGCUCUCUACAAAAACCUCGUUGAUCAGCUGGAGGAGAGCCAUAAAGCUUUUGAAUGGGAGAUACACCAAGCCCUUAUUGAAUUUCAAAAAUUAGAAGAAGAACGAAUUGAUAUGCAACGUAAUCUUUUGUGGGUUGUGUUGAAUGCAAGAUCUCAAGUUUCAGUUGAAGAAGAUAAGUGUUAUGAAAAUGUUCGUAAAACAUUGGAACAGUGUGAUAUUCAGCGAGAUAUAAUAGAUUUCAUCUCUAAUCAUCAAACAGGAAGUACACGGCCUGCUUAUUUAAAAUACCACAAUCUUGAUGAAACAAGGAAGGAAAUACAAGUUUCACAUGCUCAAGAGUCCCUUUCAGAUGGAGAUUACUGUUCAAUUCAAUUCCCAAACUCUAAAAAAUUCAACUUGGAUUUAGUUCGCCUAAACUGAUGCCUAUUCACCAUUAACAUGUAUACACGCUUGAAUGAACAUUGAGAGACAAUGAUCCAUAAUUGGAUGUGAAUGUUAACCAGACCAUUAAAUGGAAGUUUGCGGUCAUGUAAUAGCAGUGGAUGCUUGAGAAUUCUUUAUGUGAUAUACUGAUAUAUUUGUCCAUGAAGAUAGCUUGCAUUUUGUCAAGUCUUCUAUUUUUAACUUGAAUACUUUUUAAACUUUGAAAUCAGGAUUAACUUUUGUGAAGUGUGCAAUGAGAAUCAUUUUUAUCAUUCCCAUCAUUUGUGAAGCAUCAGAUCAAUGUUGCCAUCAUUAGACAGGAUGAACCUAUCAUUAUUCCAUUAUUUCAUUUAUAGAGCCUUACUUACUAUCCUAGAAAUCAAAAAAUAUAUUGUUACCAAACAUGACUCAUCAGUGACAAUCUAUUAAAAUAAUUAUCUCUUGGGUUUAAUUUUAAUUUUUAUUAUUAUUUUUUUUUGCAUCUAAUUCCUGAUUUUUUAAUUUUUUUUUGAGGGUUUUUAAUAAUUUUGCAAUGUUGGGAAAUUUUGUGUUGUUUUUAUAUUUGUUUGCAUUUAAUUCAAUUUUUCCGUUGUAAAUAAAAACGUGACUACUGUUGUAUCAGGGUUAAUACAAUUAAUCCUACUGUGUUUAUAUUUUCACAGAUUCUGUAGGAAAUAAUCUCCAUGACUAACAUCAACUUCUUCACUUAACAUAUUAGAAUAUUUGUUGUGCAUAUUGACAUAAAAACAGAACAAAACAUAAUGAGCUAAAUAUUUCUUAAUGUUUAUUAUUGCCAAUUCAGCUGAACAAAGCAAACAUCACUAUUCAUUAGUGUGAGAAGGCAAUCAUUUCUCUCUAUUUUAAAAUGCUUCCAUUAAAUCUCUUCUAACACUAAACUCGACUAAAUGUUAUUCUCUACAGAGGAAAAAAGACAUGUAGGAACAAUUUUU
RNAcentral lists this unclassified non-coding RNA (2415 nucleotides) under Octopus sinensis (East Asian common octopus). RNAcentral's name for it is "proline-serine-threonine phosphatase-interacting protein 2, transcript variant X2". Lineage: Eukaryota; Metazoa; Mollusca; Cephalopoda; Octopoda; Octopodidae. The record is from RNAcentral.